This is a long non-coding RNA of Ficedula albicollis (Collared flycatcher), 400 nucleotides long. RefSeq lists it as uncharacterized. The record is from RefSeq and is a predicted model, not a curated record. Lineage: Eukaryota; Metazoa; Chordata; Aves; Passeriformes; Muscicapidae. The transcript is spliced from 3 exons.
UUAUUUUUUUUUUCUUGGGGAUUCUCCUCUCUCCUGCCAGACUGACUUACACGUUCUUGAUAAUUUCUCUUCCCCUCAUUUUUUAUACUCUUCUCCCUGCUUCCAAACCCUGUGUCUGUGUGUUUCAGUACUAUCACAACCUCGCUAAAAAUAGAUCUUUUUAUACCCUUCCUCCUCUCUGACCCCAUCCAACACCCCUUGUUAAGGUCACAUCUUAAACCCAGAGCAAGAAAAGUAAAUUCACUUGGCUGUCCCAUAUCUCUAAGGAACCUGAUGCAUGAGUGGAUUAGAGAAGAGAAAGAGAGGAAAACUCCAAAGCCCUACAGAUCAUCUGGCUGGCAGGGUCAAGUUUUCUUCAGAUUGAAGUGGAAUUGUGGCUCAUGGACAUCUGAUGUGCUGG